UGGGGAAUAUUGGACAAUGGGCGCAAGCCUGAUCCAGCCAUGCCGCGUGUGUGAAGAAGGCCUUUUGGUUGUAAAGCACUUUAAGCGAGGAGGAGGCUACUGAGAUUAAUACUCUUGGAUAGUGGACGUUACUCGCAGAAUAAGCACCGGCUAACUCUGUGCCAGCAGCCGCGGUAAUACAGAGGGUGCGAGCGUUAAUCGGAUUUACUGGGCGUAAAGCGUGCGUAGGCGGCUUCUUAAGUCGGAUGUGAAAUCCCUGAGCUUAACUUAGGAAUUGCAUUCGAUACUGGGAAGCUAGAGUAUGGGAGAGGAUGGUAGAAUUCCAGGUGUAGCGGUGAAAUGCGUAGAGAUCUGGAGGAAUACCGAUGGCGAAGGCAGCCAUCUGGCCUAAUACUGACGCUGAGGUACGAAAGCAUGGGGAGCAAACAGG
This 430-nucleotide ribosomal RNA is filed under the name bacterium. Its description in RNAcentral is "partial 16S ribosomal RNA". It matches the Rfam family "Bacterial small subunit ribosomal RNA", at positions 355 to 776 of the family's 1533-position model. RNAcentral also lists the same sequence under 3 other names. The record is from RNAcentral.